This 253-nucleotide ribosomal RNA is filed under the name uncultured bacterium. Its description in RNAcentral is "partial 16S ribosomal RNA". It matches the Rfam family "Bacterial small subunit ribosomal RNA", at positions 524 to 776 of the family's 1533-position model. The record is from RNAcentral.
UACGAGGGGGGCGAGCGUUGUUCGGAAUUAUUGGGCGUAAAGGGCGCGUAGGCGGUUUGAUAAGUCUGAUGUGAAAUCUAUGGGCUCAACCCAUAGCCUGCAUUAGAAACUGUCGGGCUUGAGUAUGGGAGAGGUGAGUGGAAUUUCCGGUGUAGCGGUGAAAUGCGUAGAUAUCGGAAGGAACACCUGUGGCGAAAGCGGCUCACUGGACCAUUACUGACGCUGAUGCACGAAAGCUAGGGGAGCAAACAGG